UUAAUUUGGACGAGUUUAAUACAAUGAUUAAAUUAUAGUAUUAAAUUAUUAGUUUAGUCUUUGGACUGAUACAAAAUGAGGUAGUAAGUUUUAUUAAAACUGAAGAGAGUUUUAAUGUAGUAAAAAAAUUACAGAGACUAAGUCAUAUAUUAGACUAAACCUCAGGGGCUAAAUAAUAUUUAACCCAAAUUUUUAUAUCCUAUGUAAAUAUCGGAUAACAUAAAUUUGAUAUCUAAAUUUUUUAAUUUUUCUAUUUUAGUGUUGGCAACAUUUUUUAUUUAAUCGUAUGUCUGUAGAAAAAAAAUUAUAUAUCAUUGUGGUGUUUUUAGGUCUAUUAUGGUUGCCUGAUUGCUGAUUAGGCUAAAUGGGGCAUCUGUUUUGUCACUAAAAAAAUUAACUCGUAAAAUUUCCAUAGUAGAAAGAAAAUGAAAAGACAAAAAUGACUUUAUAUGAACUUAGGAAGAAUAAACCACAACAGUUUAACUACUAAAACUUAAGAAAACCUAAAUUUAUCCUUCUACUCUUUAUAAUGUAAGCCGUUGAAAUUGGGAAUCAAGAAUUAUAAUAUGAUCUUUAAUCGAUUUGAAUUGAAAUUCACAGUGAGACUUUGAUGAUUUAAAUUAGAGAUUGAAGUAGUUUGCUAGAUGUUGCCUUCAUAUGAAAAGUUGUUUCUUUAUUCUGUAGGUGUACUUGAAGAAGGCAUUUCACAUGAAGAAAGUGAAGAUACUGAAGUUGAGAGAGGAGUUGAAAGAAAUGAAGAUGCAGAUAUAGAAUAUAUGUGUGCGGAGGAAGAUCCAUAUUUGAUUUAGUGUGAGUUUCUUUCUGGUGAUGAUAAGGAGCUGGAGAGGACUAGACAUGUAUACAUAAAUUUAAGAAGAGUUAAGUUGGAGGAGUAAGCGCAUGCCAAGAAUCAUAAACCCACAAUUUUGUUCUUCCAUUACUUUGUUGUUUUCUCUCUUUUUUGAAUGGAUAUACUCUUGUUUACUUUUGAUUUCCUUCCUUUUCUAUUUCAAUUGUUCUUUUGCUAA
Molecule: long non-coding RNA, 1028 nt
Organism: Ricinus communis (castor bean)
Lineage: Eukaryota; Viridiplantae; Streptophyta; Magnoliopsida; Malpighiales; Euphorbiaceae
Exons: 2
Source: RefSeq, a predicted model, not a curated record